AACGAACGCUGGCGGCAUGCCUAACACAUGCAAGUCGAACGAGACUUCGGUCUAGUGGCGGACGGGUGAGUAACGCGUAGGAACCUGCCAAGCAGUGGGGAAUAACAGCUGGAAACGGCUGCUAAUACCGCAUACGCCCUUCGGGGGAAAGAUUUAUCGCUGUUUGAGGGUCCUGCGUUCGAUUAGCUAGUUGGUGAGGUAACGGCCCACCAAGGCGACGAUCGAUAGCUGGUCUGAGAGGAUGAUCAGCCACACUGGGACUGAGACACGGCCCAGACUCCUACGGGAGGCAGCAGUGGGGAAUAUUGGACAAUGGGGGAAACCCUGAUCCAGCAAUGCCGCGUGCGUGAAGAAGGCCUUAGGGUUGUAAAGCGCUUUCACCUGUGAUGAUGAUGACAGUAGCAGGAGAAGAAGCCCCGGCUAACUCCGUG
RNAcentral lists this ribosomal RNA (431 nucleotides) under uncultured bacterium. RNAcentral describes it as "bacterial SSU rRNA". It matches the Rfam family "Bacterial small subunit ribosomal RNA", at positions 29 to 507 of the family's 1533-position model. The record is from RNAcentral.